RNAcentral lists this ribosomal RNA (466 nucleotides) under uncultured bacterium. RNAcentral describes it as "partial 16S ribosomal RNA". It matches the Rfam family "Bacterial small subunit ribosomal RNA", at positions 28 to 507 of the family's 1533-position model. The record is from RNAcentral.
GACGAACGCUGGCGGCGUGCUUAACACAUGCAAGUCGAACGGAAAGGCCUCUUUCGGGGGGUACUCGAGUGGCGAACGGGUGAGUAACACGUGAGUAACCUGCCCUUGACUUUGGGAUAACUUCAGGAAACUGGGGCUAAUACCGGAUAGGAGCUCCUGCUGCAUGGUGGGGGUUGGAAAGUUUCGGCGGUUGGGGAUGGACUCGCGGCUUAUCAGCUUGUUGGUGGGGUAGUGGCUUACCAAGGCUUUGACGGGUAGCCGGCCUGAGAGGGGGACCGGCGACAUGGGGUAUGAGGGAGGGCCCAGUGUCGUACGUGAGGGAGGAGGGGCGAAGAGUGUACAAGGGGCCGAAGCGUGUGCCGGAAUCGCCGCGGGUGUGAUGUCGUUAUUGGGGUUGGGAAGGGGGUUAGAAUGCGCCGAACGGGGAGCGACGGUAAGGGGUAAAGAAGCAACGGCUAACUACGUG